AAUCAACGCUGGCGGCGCGCCUAACACAUGCAAGUCGAACGAGAAAGUGGAGCAAUCCAUGAGUACAGUGGCGUACGGGUGAGUAACACGUGGAUCAUCUACCUUUUAGUGGGGAAUAAC
RNAcentral lists this ribosomal RNA (120 nucleotides) under uncultured bacterium. RNAcentral describes it as "partial 16S ribosomal RNA". It matches the Rfam family "Bacterial small subunit ribosomal RNA", at positions 32 to 147 of the family's 1533-position model. The record is from RNAcentral.